GACGAACGCUGGCGGCGUGCCUAGUACAUGCAAGUUGAGCGCUGAAGGUUGGUACUUGUACCAACUGGAUGAGCAGCGAACGGGUGAGUAACGCGUGGGGAAUCUGCCUUUGAGCGGGGGACAACAGUUGGAAACGAAUGCUAAUACCGCAUAAAAACUUUAAACACAAGUUUUAAGUUUGAAAGAUGCAAUUGCAUCACUCAAAGAUGAUCCCGCGUUGUAUUAGCUAGUUGGUGAGGUAAAGGCUCACCAAGGCGAUGAUACAUAGCCGACCUGAGAGGGUGAUCGGCCACAUUGGGACUGAGACACGGCCCAAACUCCUACGGGAGGCAGCAGUAGGGAAUCUUCGGCAAUGGACGAAAGUCUGACCGAGCAACGCCGCGUGAGUGAAGAAGGUUUUCGGAUCGUAAAACUCUGUUGGUAGAGAAGAACGUUGGUGAGAGUGGAAAGCUCAUCAAGUGACGGUAACUACCCAGAAAGGGACGGCUAACUACGUG
RNAcentral lists this ribosomal RNA (497 nucleotides) under uncultured bacterium. RNAcentral describes it as "partial 16S ribosomal RNA". It matches the Rfam family "Bacterial small subunit ribosomal RNA", at positions 28 to 507 of the family's 1533-position model. The record is from RNAcentral.